Molecule: ribosomal RNA, 330 nt
Filed under: uncultured bacterium
Lineage: Bacteria
Description: bacterial SSU rRNA
Rfam family: Bacterial small subunit ribosomal RNA
Source: RNAcentral
AGGGUUUGAUUAUGGCUCAGAUUGAACGCUGGCGGCAGGCCUAACACAUGCAAGUCGAACGGUAACAGGAAGCAGCUUGCUGCUUUGCUGACGAGUGGCGGACGGGUGAGUAAUGUCUGGGAAACUGCCUGAUGGAGGGGGAUAACUACUGGAAACGGUAGCUAAUACCGCAUAACGUCGCAAGACCAAAGAGGGGGACCUUCGGGCCUCUUGCCAUCGGAUGUGCCCAGAUGGGAUUAGCUAGUAGGUGGGGUAACGGCUCACCUAGGCGACGAUCCCUAGCUGGUCUGAGAGGAUGACCAGCCACACUGGAACUGAGACACGGUCCAG